AUGAACGCUGGCGGCGUGCCUCAUACAUGCAAGUCGAGCGAACAGACGAGGAGCUUGCUCCUUCGACGUUAGCGGCGGACGGGUGAGUAACACGUAGGUAACCUACCUAUAAGACUGGGAUAACUUCGGGAAACCGGAGCUAAUACCGGAUAAUAUUUCGAACCGCCCGGUUCGAUAGUGAAAGAUGGCUUUGCUAUCACUUAUAGACGGACCUGCGCCGUAUUAGCUAGUUGGUAAGGUAACGGCUUACCAAGGCAACGAUACGUAGCCGACCUGAGAGGGUGAUCGGCCACACUGGAACUGAGACACGGUCCAGACUCCUACGGGAGGCAGCAGUAGGGAAUCUUCCGCAAUGGGCGAAAGCCUGACGGAGCAACGCCGCGUGAGUGAUGAAGGUCUUCGGAUCGUAAAACUCUGUUAUUAGGGAAGAACAAACGUGUAAGUAACUGUGCACGUCUUGACGGCACCUAAUCAGAAAGCCACGGCUAACUACGUG
Molecule: ribosomal RNA, 496 nt
Filed under: uncultured bacterium
Lineage: Bacteria
Description: partial 16S ribosomal RNA
Rfam family: Bacterial small subunit ribosomal RNA
Source: RNAcentral